GAGUUUGAUCCUGGCUCAGAGUGAACGCUGGCGGCGUGCCUAAUACAUGCAAGUCGAACGAUGAAGCUUCUAGCUUGCUAGAAUGCUGAUUAGUGGCGCACGGGUGAGUAACGCAUAGGUCAUGUGCCUCUUAGUUUGGGAUAGCCAUUGGAAACGAUGAUUAAUACCAGAUACUCCCUACGGGGGAAAGAUUUAUCGCUAAGAGAUCAGCCUAUGUCCUAUCAGCUUGUUGGUAAGGUAAUGGCUUACCAAGGCUAUGACGGGUAUCCGGCCUGAGAGGGUGAACGGACACACUGGAACUGAGACACGGUCCAGACUCCUACGGGAGGCAGCAGUAGGGAAUAUUGCUCAAUGGGGGAAACCCUGAAGCAGCAACGCCGCGUGGAGGAUGAAGGUUUUAGGAUUGUAAACUCCUUUUGUUAGAGAAGAUAAUGACGGUAUCUAACGAAUAAGCACCGGCUAACUCCGUGCCAGCAGCCGCGGUAAUACGGAGGGUGCAAGCGUUACUCGGAAUCACUGGGCGUAAAGAGCGCGUAGGCGGGAUAGUCAGUCAGGUGUGAAAUCCUAUGGCUUAACCAUAGAACUGCAUUUGAAACUACUAUUCUAGAGUGUGGGAGAGGUAGGUGGAAUUCUUGGUGUAGGGGGUAAAAUCCGUAGAGAUCAAGAGGAAUACUCAUUGCGAAGGCGACCUGCUGGAACAUUACUGACGCUGAUUGCGCGAAAGCGUGGGGAGCAAACAGGAUUAGAUACCCUGGUAGUCCACGCCCUAAACGAUGGAUGCUAGUUGUUGGAGGGCUUAGUCUCUCCAGUAAUGCAGCUAACGCAUUAAGCAUCCCGCCUGGGGAGUACGGUCGCAAGAUUAAAACUCAAAGGAAUAGACGGGGACCCGCACAAGCGGUGGAGCAUGUGGUUUAAUUCGAAGAUACACGAAGAACCUUACCUAGGCUUGACAUUGAGAGAAUCCGCUAGAAAUAGUGGAGUGUCUAGCUUGCUAGACCUUGAAAACAGGUGCUGCACGGCUGUCGUCAGCUCGUGUCGUGAGAUGUUGGGUUAAGUCCCGCAACGAGCGCAACCCCCUUUCUUAGUUGCUAACAGGUCAUGCUGAGAACUCUAAGGAUACUGCCUCCGUAAGGAGGAGGAAGGUGGGGACGACGUCAAGUCAUCAUGGCCCUUACGCCUAGGGCUACACACGUGCUACAAUGGGGUGCACAAAGAGAAGCAAUACUGCGAAGUGGAGCCAAUCUUCAAAACACCUCUCAGUUCGGAUUGUAGGCUGCAACUCGCCUGCAUGAAGCUGGAAUCGCUAGUAAUCGCAAAUCAGCCAUGUUGCGGUGAAUACGUUCCCGGGUCUUGUACUCACCGCCCGUCACACCAUGGGAGUUGUGUUUGCCUUAAGUCAGGAUGCUAAAUUGGCUACUGCCCACGGCACACACAGCGACUGGGGUGAAGUCGUAACAAGGUAACCGUAGGUGAACCUGCGGUUGGAUCACC
RNAcentral lists this ribosomal RNA (1491 nucleotides) under Helicobacter pylori NQ4110. RNAcentral's name for it is "bacterial SSU rRNA". It matches the Rfam family "Bacterial small subunit ribosomal RNA". The record is from RNAcentral. Lineage: Bacteria; Pseudomonadati; Campylobacterota; Epsilonproteobacteria; Campylobacterales; Helicobacteraceae.